This 421-nucleotide ribosomal RNA is filed under the name uncultured bacterium. RNAcentral describes it as "bacterial SSU rRNA". It matches the Rfam family "Bacterial small subunit ribosomal RNA", at positions 503 to 922 of the family's 1533-position model. The record is from RNAcentral.
GCCCUUCAGCAGCCGCGGUAAUACGUAGGUGGCAAGCGUUGUCCGGAAUUAUUGGGCGUAAAGCGCGCGCAGGCGGCCUUUUAAGUCUGAUGUGAAAGCCCCCGGCUCAACCGGGGAGGGCCAUUGGAAACUGGAAGGCUUGAGUACAGAAGAGAAGAGUGGAAUUCCACGUGUAGCGGUGAAAUGCGUAGAGAUGUGGAGGAACACCAGUGGCGAAGGCGACUCUUUGGUCUGUAACUGACGCUGAGGCGCGAAAGCGUGGGGAGCAAACAGGAUUAGAUACCCUGGUAGUCCACGCCGUAAACGAUGAGUGCUAGGUGUUGGGGGGUUUCCGCCCCUCAGUGCUGAAGCUAACGCAUUAAGCACUCCGCCUGGGGAGUACGGCCGCAAGGCUGAAACUCAAAGGAAUUGACGGAAGGGC